Molecule: long non-coding RNA, 363 nt
Organism: Lacerta agilis (Sand lizard)
Lineage: Eukaryota; Metazoa; Chordata; Lepidosauria; Squamata; Lacertidae
Exons: 2
Source: RefSeq, a predicted model, not a curated record
GGCUUACUCCUAAGUAAGUGUGAGCAGUUUUGUGGGGCCGCACAAAGGGUUGAAAGGAAAGGGGAAAGAUGCAACAUAGCUACACACACACUGGCCUGGUUCCCACAACACGACUUGGCUUCAGCUGCUGUGGUACAAACAGUACUUUGCAGCUUUGAAACUUCUGCUACUGAACAGAGCAGAGAACAUCACUACAGAAUUGUACCAGUUGUUCCUGUUGUUCCAUUGUAGAUGAACAACUCACAGAAUGCUGACCAAGACACAGGCAGUGCAGCCCAGGUGAACUGUGAUUCAUCACUGAAGAGAAACAGAUAUGAUCUAAUCAGUCUCACACACAAGAAAUACAUUUUAAAAGGAACCUGG